Molecule: ribosomal RNA, 253 nt
Filed under: uncultured bacterium
Lineage: Bacteria
Description: partial 16S ribosomal RNA
Rfam family: Bacterial small subunit ribosomal RNA
Source: RNAcentral
UACAGAGGGUGCUAGCGUUAUUCGGAAUUACUGGGCGUAAAGCGCAUGUAGGCGGUUCGGUAAGUCUGAUGUGAAAGCCCCCGGCUCAAUCGGGGAAGUGCAUCGGAUACUGCUGGACUGGAGUGCAGGAGGGGAGAACGGAAUUCCUGGUGUAGAGGUGAAAUUCGUAGAUAUCAGGAGGAACAACGGUGGCGAAGGCGGUUCUCUGGACUGCAACUGACGCUGAGAUGCGAAAGCGUGGGGAGCAAACAGG